GGCGUCGAAGUAGUGGAUGUCAUACUUCCAAGAAAAGCUUGCACUGUCAUAAAUAAAAACGCCUGUACCAUAACCGACACAGGUGGGUAGGUAGAGUAUACUAAGGGGCGCGAGAUAACUCUCUCUAAGGAACUCGGCAAAAUAACUCCGUAACUUCGGGAGAAGGAGUGCCUUAUUCGUAAGGCUGCAAUAACAAGAUCCAAGCAACUGUUUAUCAAAAACACAGGUCUCCGCUAAGUCGUAAGACGAUGUAUGGGGGCUGACGCCUGCCCAGUGCCAGAAGGUUAAAGAAGUCGGUUAGCAUUAGCGAAGCUGGUAACUGAAGCCCUGGUGAACGGCGGCCGUAACAAUAACGGUCCUAAGGUAGCGAAAUUCCUUGUCGGGUAAGUUCCGACCCGCACGAAAGGCGUAAUGAUUUGGAUACUGUCUCGGAGAGGGGCUCGGUGAAAUAGACUUGUCUGUGAAGAUGCGGACUACCUGCACCAGGACAGAAAGACCCUAUGAAGCUUUACUGUAACUUGAAAUUGAAAUUGGACUUUAUUCGCGCAGUAUAGGUGGGAGGUGUUGAUUAUAAUCUUGCGGGAUUAUUGGAGCCAUCAGUGAGAUACCACUCUUGUAAUGUUAGAUUUCUAACUUUGAAUCAUUAUCUGGUCAAAGAACAGUUUCAGGCGGGCAGUUUGACUGGGGCGGUCGCCUCCUAAAUGGUAACGGAGGCGUACAAAGGUUUCCUCUGAACGGGUAGAAAUCGUAUCUAGAGUGUAAAGGCAUAAGGAAGCUUGACUGUGAGACCUACAAGUCGAGCGGGGACGAAAGUCGGUCUUAGUGAUCUGACGGUACUGAGUGGAAAGGCCGUCACUCAACGGAUAAAAGUUACUCUAAGGAUAACAGGCUGAUCUCCCCCAAGAGUUCACAUCGACGGGGAGGUUUGGCACCUCGAUGUCGGCUCAUCGCAUCCUGGGGCGGUAGUACGUCCCAAGGGUUGGGCUGUUCGCCCAUGAAAGCGGUACGCGAGCUGGGUUCAGAACGUCGUGAGACAGUUCGGUCCAUAUCCGGUGUAGGCGUUAGAAUAUUGAGAGGAGCCUUCUUUAGUACGAGAGGACCGAGAAGGACAUACCUCUGGUGUACCAGUUAUCGUGCCAACGGUAAACGCUGGGUAGCUAUGUAUGGAGUGGAUAACCGCUGAAAGCAUCUAAGUGGGAAGCCCACCUCAAGAUAAG
This 1217-nucleotide ribosomal RNA is filed under the name metagenome. RNAcentral describes it as "bacterial LSU rRNA". It matches the Rfam family "Bacterial large subunit ribosomal RNA", at positions 1581 to 2808 of the family's 2925-position model. The record is from RNAcentral.